GAUGAACGCUGGCGGCGUGCCUAAUACAUGCAAGUCGAGCGAACAGACGAGGAGCUUGCUCCUCUGACGUUAGCGGCGGACGGGUGAGUAACACGUGGAUAACCUACCUAUAAGACUGGGAUAACUUCGGGAAUCCGGAGCUAAUACCGGAUAAUAUAUUGAACCGCAUGGUUCAAUAGUGAAAGACGGUUUUGCUGUCACUUAUAGAUGGAUCCGCGCCGCAUUAGCUAGUUGGUAAGGUAACGGCUUACCAAGGCAACGAUGCGUAGCCGACCUGAGAGGGUGACCGGGCACAUGGGGACGGAGAUACGGCCCAGACGCCUAAGGGAGGCAGGAGUGGGGAAUAUUGCACAAUGGGCGGAAGACUGAUGCAGCAACGCCGCGUGCGGGAUGACGGCCGACGGGAGGAAAACCGCGUUCGCCUGUGACGAAGCGGGAGGGACGGUAAUGGGUAAAGAAGCGCCGGCUAACUACGUG
Molecule: ribosomal RNA, 477 nt
Filed under: uncultured bacterium
Lineage: Bacteria
Description: partial 16S ribosomal RNA
Rfam family: Bacterial small subunit ribosomal RNA
Source: RNAcentral